CCUACGGGAGGCAGCAGUGGGGGAUAUUGCACAAUGGCGGAAACCCUGAUGCAGCGACGCCGCGUGGGCGAAGACGUAUUUCGGUAUGUAAAGCCCUAUCAGCAGGGAAGAAGAAAUGACGGUACCUGAGUAAGAAGCACCGGCUAAAUACGUGCCAACAGCCGCGGUUAUACGUAUGGUGCAGGCGUUAUCCGGAUUUACUGGGUGUAAAGGGAGCGCAGGCGGGACGGCAAGCCUGAUGGGAAAGCCAGGGGCCCAACCGCCGGACUGCAGUGGAAACUACCGGGCUGGAGUGCCGGAGAGGUAGGCGGAAUGCGUAGUGUAGCGGUGAAAUGCGUAGAUAUUAGGAGGAACACCAGUGGCGAAGGCGGCCUACUGGAGGGUGACUGACGCUGAUGCUCGAAAGCGUGGGGAGCAAACAGGAUUAGAUACCCGAGUAGUC
Molecule: ribosomal RNA, 442 nt
Filed under: uncultured bacterium
Lineage: Bacteria
Description: partial 16S ribosomal RNA
Rfam family: Bacterial small subunit ribosomal RNA
Source: RNAcentral